UACAGAGGGGGCAAGCGUUGUUCGGAAUUACUGGGCGUAAAGGGCGCGUAGGCGGCCUGUUAAGUCGAACGUGAAAUCCCCGGGCUCAACCCGGGAACUGCGUCCGAUACUGGCAGGCUUGAAUCCGGGAGAGGGAUGCGGAAUUCCAGGUGUAGCGGUGAAAUGCGUAGAUAUAGGAAGGAACACCAGUGGCGAAGGCGACCACCUGGACUGAUACUGACACUGAGGUGCGAAAGCGUGGGGAGCAAACAGG
Molecule: ribosomal RNA, 253 nt
Filed under: uncultured bacterium
Lineage: Bacteria
Description: partial 16S ribosomal RNA
Rfam family: Bacterial small subunit ribosomal RNA
Source: RNAcentral